ACAGGAAUAAACUGCUGAAAGAAGAAUCCUGUGUCGUGUUUUCCCUUGCCGGCGAGGGGUCACGACAGUUACUGGCCUCUGAACCAUGUGCAGAAUUAGCAAAUAACCCUUCAUGAAGUCGCUGCAGAAGUCAGCUUGUCUUCCUGAGAUUCUCCCUCUCUGGAGCCUUAGCCCUUCCAGUUCUUGUUAACUCAGCAGCUCUCCUCUGCCUUAAAAUAGAUGUCUUCUCUAUUUUGUUCCAAUUUUUUUGUGGUUUUUAGGUGGGAACACUGGUCUGUCACUAGCUAAUCUAUCCUACUUGGAAAUAGAGGUUCAUUCCAUCUUACUAUUUUCACUAUACCUUAUAUUUUAAAACAAAAAAAAUGUAUUUUUGUUUGACACAUUUCUCAGUAAAACAUUGCCUGACCUCUCAGAGUCUGUUAAAUAAAUCUUAUAGCACCCUUUACUUCUUUAAUAUUUAUUGCUAUUUUGAUUAAUUAUGUAAUUAAUAUGUUUAAUGUCUCUCUCCCAUGCUAGAUUAUAUGCUCCUUGGGAGCAUUAAAUUUAUCUAUCUUGCUCAUUAUUAUAUCCUUAGUACUAGACAUAAUGUUGGAUAUAUAAAUAAUAAUGGCUGAAUGAAU
RNAcentral lists this long non-coding RNA (620 nucleotides) under Marmota monax (woodchuck). Lineage: Eukaryota; Metazoa; Chordata; Mammalia; Rodentia; Sciuridae. The record is from RNAcentral.